Molecule: RNase P RNA, 399 nt
Filed under: Albidovulum salinarum
Lineage: Bacteria; Pseudomonadati; Pseudomonadota; Alphaproteobacteria; Rhodobacterales; Paracoccaceae
Also listed under: 1 other name
Description: RNase P RNA component class A
Rfam family: Bacterial RNase P class A
About the family: Ribonuclease P (RNase P) is a ubiquitous endoribonuclease, found in archaea, bacteria and eukarya as well as chloroplasts and mitochondria. Its best characterised activity is the generation of mature 5'-ends of tRNAs by cleaving the 5'-leader elements of precursor-tRNAs.
Source: RNAcentral
GCGGAUGGCCGGAUGACCGCGAGGGGCGACCUUCGAGGAAAGUCCGGACUCCAUGAAGCGACGGUGCCGGGUAACGCCCGGCCGGGGAAACCCGAGGGAAAGCGCCACAGAGAACAGACUACCCCGGACCUGUCCGGGGAAAAGGUGAAACGGUGGGGUAAGAGCCCACCGCGGACUUGGCAACAAGGACGGCACGGCAAGCCCCACCGGGAGCAAUGCCAAAUAGGGGCCUCGCGCGGGGCAAGUCCGCAAGGAUACUGACCGCAGGGACGCUUCAGCCCGAGAGGCCCGGGUUGGCAGCUUGAGCGCGCCGGUAACGGCGCGCCGAGAGGAAUGGUCAUCCAGCCCCGGAUCACGGUCCGGGGUGGACAGAAUCCGGCUUACAGGCCGUCCGCGCAU